RNAcentral lists this transfer RNA (71 nucleotides) under Rickettsiales bacterium. RNAcentral's name for it is "tRNA-Asn". It matches the Rfam family "tRNA". Rfam says of the family: Transfer RNA (tRNA) molecules are approximately 80 nucleotides in length. Their secondary structure includes four short double-helical elements and three loops (D, anti-codon, and T loops). Further hydrogen bonds mediate the characteristic L-shaped molecular structure. tRNAs have two regions of fundamental functional importance: the anti-codon, which is responsible for specific mRNA codon recognition, and the 3' end, to which the tRNAs corresponding amino acid is attached (by aminoacyl-tRNA synthetases). tRNAs cope with the degeneracy of the genetic code in two manners: having more than one tRNA (with a specific anti-codon) for a particular amino acid; and 'wobble' base-pairing, i.e. permitting non-standard base-pairing at the 3rd anti-codon position. Lineage: Bacteria; Pseudomonadati; Pseudomonadota; Alphaproteobacteria; Rickettsiales. The record is from RNAcentral.
GCCUCCAUAGCUCAACGGUAGAGCGAAAUACUGUUAAUAUUUAGACAGAUGUUCGAUUCAUCUUGGAGGCU